This 1151-nucleotide ribosomal RNA is filed under the name Streptococcus pneumoniae. RNAcentral's name for it is "bacterial SSU rRNA". It matches the Rfam family "Bacterial small subunit ribosomal RNA", at positions 385 to 1528 of the family's 1533-position model. Lineage: Bacteria; Bacillati; Bacillota; Bacilli; Lactobacillales; Streptococcaceae. The record is from RNAcentral.
GAUCCAGCCAUGCCGCGUGUGUGAAGAAGGCCUUUUGGUUGUAAAGCACUUUAAGCAGUGAAGAAGACUCUUCGGUUAAUACCCGGAGACGAUGACAUUAGCUGCAGAAUAAGCACCGGCUAACUCUGUGCCAGCAGCCGCGGUAAUACAGAGGGUGCAAGCGUUAAUCGGAAUUACUGGGCGUAAAGCGAGCGUAGGUGGCUUGAUAAGUCAGAUGUGAAAUCCCCGGGCUUAACCUGGGAACUGCAUCUGAUACUGUCAGGCUAGAGUAGGUGAGAGGAAGGUAGAAUUCCAGGUGUAGCGGUGAAAUGCGUAGAGAUCUGGAGGAAUACCGAUGGCGAAGGCAGCCUUCUGGCAUCAUACUGACACUGAGGCUCGAAAGCGUGGGUAGCAAACAGGAUUAGAUACCCUGGUAGUCCACGCCGUAAACGAUGUCUACUAGUCGUUGGGUCCCUUGAGGACUUAGUGACGCAGCUAACGCAAUAAGUAGACCGCCUGGGGAGUACGGCCGCAAGGUUAAAACUCAAAUGAAUUGACGGGGGCCCGCACAAGCGGUGGAGCAUGUGGUUUAAUUCGAUGCAACGCGAAGAACCUUACCUGGUCUUGACAUAUCUAGAAUCCUGCAGAGAUGCGGGAGUGCCUUCGGGAAUUAGAAUACAGGUGCUGCAUGGCUGUCGUCAGCUCGUGUCGUGAGAUGUUGGGUUAAGUCCCGCAACGAGCGCAACCCUUGUCCUUAGUUACCAGCGGGUUAAGCCGGGAACUCUAAGGAUACUGCCAGUGACAAACUGGAGGAAGGCGGGGACGACGUCAAGUCAUCAUGGCCCUUACGACCAGGGCUACACACGUGCUACAAUGGUAGGUACAGAGGGCAGCUACACAGCGAUGUGAUGCGAAUCUCAAAAAGCCUAUCGUAGUCCAGAUUGGAGUCUGCAACUCGACUCCAUGAAGUAGGAAUCGCUAGUAAUCGCGGAUCAGAAUGCCGCGGUGAAUACGUUCCCGGGCCUUGUACACACCGCCCGUCACACCAUGGGAGUUGAUUGCACCAGAAGUGGUUAGCCUAACCGUAAGGAAGGCGAUCACCACGGUGUGGUUGAUGACUGGGGUGAAGUCGUAACAAGGUAGCCGUAGGGGAACCUGCGGCUGGAUCACCU